CACUCCUCCACUGAAACCAACUGUAACCGUAACAAGUUGUUAAAAUCGCGAGUUAACUCGUAAAAUUACUGUAACCUUUGCAAAUGUUGUCUCUGGCAGGGUUCUGUAAGGGUUUUGCUAUCUCCCUCUCUCCCACCCUACCUCUCACCGCAAGACAAGGCUACAUCUCUGCUUGUUCAACAGUUAACCUCAAUACAAGUCAAUUAAGCUAGCUUUCUUUUUUUCUAUCUUUUUCUUUGAAAGAUGUUAUCUUGACUUCUAUUUUCAAGAUUUUUUGUAUCAAUGACUUGUAUUUUCCACGUGGGUGUCGUCGAUAAAGCUUAUUUUUUGUAUCAAUGUUACUUUUGUAGUCUUUCAGCCCUGGCUCCAUUGAAUCCUCACUUUGUCAAGCUCUGUCACAGAAGAGCAAACAGUAAAAACCCAUCGCCAAAACCACUUAACUACUAGCUAUUCCUUAGAGGUAGACAGAGUCAAGGUUGUUGAAGCUUUGAACAGUUUGAGAAAAAAACCCUUUGCUGCUUUUUCACUGUUCAAGGAGUUAAAAGAAAGGGGUUUUCUCACAAUGUUUAUUCACAAGUUUCCAUUGUUAGAAUCUUGUGUCGUCGGGGUAUGGAUAGGAAAUUGGAUUCUGUAUUGCUGGAACUUAUUAGGAAAGGGAGAGGUUUGGAUUUUGAAAUUGUGGAUUUUUUUCUGAGCUCUGGUUGAUGGGGUUGAGAGUGAGUGUUGAAAUCUUCUCGUUCGAGUGUCGGAUGCAUUGGUUAAGGUUUAUGUUAAGGUUGGGAUGUUUGACGAGGCUAUUGAUGUUCUUUUUCAAAAUAGUAAGGUCCGUGGAUUCGUUCCACGGAUAUGGUCAUGUUACUGUCUCACGAACCUGUUGAUUGAGUGUAGGAUAGUGGAGAUGGUUGUCGCCACUUAUCAGCAUUUACAGAGCAUUGAUUCGAGCCCAAAUGAUUAUACAUAUACCCUUGCUAUCGAGGCAUUUUGUGUGAGAGGCGGUUCGGAGGAAGCGGUUGAUGUCUUUUGGGAGAUACAGGAACCUGGAGUGACUCCAAAUGCUUUUGCUCACACAACAUAUAUUGAAGGUCUUUGCACGCAUCAGGGGUCAGAUCCAGGCUGUAAGAUGCUCCAGGGACUGACAAGAGUGAAGAUUCCAAUAGACGUUUAUGUUUAUACAGCUGUGAUUUGUGGCUUCUGUAAUGAAAUGAAAUUGAAAAGGCAGAGAGUGUCUUGCUUGACAUGGAAAAACAAGGCUUUGUAACAGAUGUGUAUAUCUAUGGUGCAUUGAUGUACGGAAUUUCCAAGGCCAGGGAUUUACAUAAAAUGCUGUCUCUUCAUGGUGAAAUGGAGUAAAAAAGCAUCAAAACAAACUGUGUGAUUCUGAGCUCAAUUCUUCAAGGAUUGCUUUGUAUGGUUGAGGCUUCUGAAAUGGUGAGUCAAUUUAAUAGAUUCAAGGAGACGGGAAUAAAACUUGACGAAGCUUGCUAUAAUAUAGUCAUGAAUGCUUUGUGCAAACUGGGAGAAAUGGACGGAGCUGUGGCAUUGCUCAUUGAGAUGAAGGGUAGGCGGACGAUUCCUGACAUUGUCAGCUACACAACUUUGAUUCACGGUUACUGCCUUGAAGGUAAACUUAAUGAUGCCUUAAGUUUAUUUCAUGAAAUGAAAAUGAAUGGACGUAAGCCUGAUGUUGUUACUUAUAACGUUCUAGUUGGUGGAUUUUCUAGAAACGGCGUUGUAUAAAAGGUGUGUAGCCUUUUGAAUGACAUGGAGACUUGGGGUUUGAAACCUAACACUGUCACACACAAUACAAUCAUUUAAGGCUUAUGUAUAGGGGGUAAGGUGGAGGAUGCUGAAGCUUUUUUUGAUAAUCUGGAAGAGAAGUGCUUGGGAAAUUACAGUGCCAUGGUCAGUGGUUACUGUGAGGCAAACCAUACAGACAAGGCCUUCAACUAUUUGUCAGGCUGUCCAAACAAGGAUUUGUAGUGAACACAGAUUCCUGCUUAAAACUACUCUGUAAUCCCUGCAAAAAAAGAUGUUAAAAAGAUGAUAUCGAGAAAGCUCUCUUCUUGUUCAACACAAUGUUGGCCAUGGAUGUAAGUCCUAGCAAAAUCAUGUAUAGUAAAGUAUAGGCAUGUUUUGCCAUGCAGGAGAAAUGGGAAAGGCCCAGUAUGUUUUUGAUGUUGCGAUCACCAGAGGGAUAACUCUUGAUUUGUUUACUUACACACUGAUGAUAAAUAGUUAUUGCAGGGAAAAUCAUUUGAGGGAGGCCUGUGAUCUUUUGAACGAUAUGAAGAAAAGAGGGAUUGAACCUGAUGCUGUCACAUAUACUGUUUUUAUUGAUGGUUGUUCAAAAAUAAAGGACACUUUAGCUUUUUGGAGAGAUAUGAAGGAGGGAUGUGGAUGUAGAGCCUGAUGUCAUUUGUCACACUGUUCUGAUUGACAAGCACUUUAAAAUGAACAACAUUCAGGAUGCUACGAGCCUUUUUAAAGAAUAUGUUGAUAGAGUACUGAAACCCGAUACCAUGACAUACACAGCUCUUUUGUCUGGAUACUGUAAAACGAAUAACAUUCAGUAUGGGAGGUAUAGAUAUGGCUACAACCCUUGUUAACGGAAUGAAAGAUAAGAGGAUACAGCCAGAUGGCCAUGCAAAGUCCACUACACGUCAUCUGAUUACCAGAAAACUGAAGUUUCAGUGACGAGCAUCUUGGCAGCUGUCGGUGGACAGAUUAACCAACUCUGUGUCUCGUACAGUGUUCCAAGGCAUGAAGGAGGUAUGAUUCACCACCAGUUAGACCAUUUGUUCUCAGGUAAAAACUGUUGUGCACUUCAUACUUUUUAUAAUCAGUUCCAACUUUUGCAAUGACCGUAAAAGUUACUGGUUUUCUUUUGUGUGUUCUUUUUUUAAUGAAUAUAGAUAUAAAUGUUGAAAGAAAUGUAGAUUUCUUAAACAAUGCAUAAACAUAAAAUUAAAAAGGAAAAUUCUACAGAAUGCAUUUGACCAAAACAAAGUUCCUGGUUUUCUCCAUGAACCCUGCAGAAAAAAAAAGGUUGGUUUCCACUGAUGUGAAAUUUCAAUUUUUGAAUUUGUUGCUCAACAAUUUGCACAAACAUGCAGAUUUGAACCCAAGACAGGUAUAUUGUAAAGGGUGGUUUUGUUUGGGAUUUAGGUGUGAUUGUUAUUGAUUUAUGGAUAUUCUGAUGAUUGAGGAAUUGAAACGAGGUGAGGUGGAGAGAGGAGGAGUUGUGUUUAGUCUCUGCUUUAAGCAGGAUAGUGAGAGUGGUAGUGGGUACUGUGUUGUACAUAGAGGGUUUUUGUUGGAGCAGGAGCUUGAGCUUUAUUUCACAUGCUCGACUUUGCUUUAUAAUGGAACAAGGCACAGGCCAGGUUUUGCUGGUGUGAUAGGGCCCACGAGCUAAUGUUACGUGCUCUGUUCAUUAUGUUUCUGCCCCUCUAGUUUUAUUUGGCAUGCGUUUUUCUCUGAAAUUUUGCGAGAUGUGGCAUGUGCAAAUGAUGUGCAGGUUGGAUUUUCACUUUGUGUGGUAAUUGUUCUUGUUUGAGGUGUUUGAAUUUUUUUGACCUUUGUUUAUGCAUGUUACAGGCCUGUGGAUGAAUUUGUCUUAUUUGCUAUAUAUUUUCAAGUGAAUCAGGUUGUUGUAAAAUCUGUCUGUGUGGUUUGAGCUAAGAAGAACUUGUAAUGAGCGAUUGUACAUGUAAUAAUAUGUUGAAAAGGGGAAUGGGAAAGCUUCGAAGUCAGGUUUUGUUGCUGCCAUUUAUAUAGAAGGACCCUGACAUUAAUACAAAAAUCAGCUCCUGGAUUCGUUUUUAAUUAUUUUUUUGGGAUAAAGGAAGAAUUUGUUUCUUUUAACCUUAUUUAAAUUUUAUUUUAUUUAAGCAAACUUUAAUAACAUAAGAGAUGUUUUUUUUUUCCAUGAUUAACUCAAGUAGAACUUUAAAUGGGACAGUAUUCAUGAUAAGUGCCGUGUUUUGGAGUUAUAUUCGUAUUGAAUAGUUUUCCUUGUAUUUUGCUGUAGCUCUAAACCAUUUGUGAUCAUGGUUCAUCAAACUUGGAUCGGUAUGUCUUGCCUGCUCUGAUUUUUGCCAGCCAAUCGAUGCCCUUUUAAUUUCUAGUCCAUUAAAAACUUAAUACCACUGAUGCUUGUGAAAUGCACUGAGAUAUUGGCUUCAAUUUGAUGAAAGCCACACAAACCCAAAACUUAUAUGAUUAUUCUACAAGGUCAAGGUGUGUCUUGACUCUUGGCUGCUCAGCUCUUUUGCACGGUUAUUUGGGCCUUGCUUAGUUAUCCAGUUCAUCAUGUGAAGUCUAGACCAUACAAACAUAGUAGUGUUUGGUUUUGAGGGAAGAGGGGACAAGUAAGAGGAAGUGAAGAGACAACAAUGUAAUUUUCCUUUGGUGUGGUGUUGAAUGUAGAAUGUUAUUUGUGUUCUGUGAAUAUAUGGGAAGCACCACGUAGUUUACAUGGAGUCAAAAUUUUGAUUGUUGUGAUUCUGAUGUUUCAUAUGUUCUUGUUAUGAAGAGAAUGGAUCACAUCAUCGAACUACAUAUGUUUAAUGUUUACUAGAAAGCAGAUCCGGGGUUGCAGCACAACCAUUGUGUAAUGUUCCCUGAUGCAACAUAAACAGAUGGCACCUGAUCCUGGAUAUGCUUAUAUGAGGUUAAUCCUACCAAGGAUACCUCUAGCAUCUUCUCAGUGGCUGGUGUUCUCUUGUCAAGGUUUCUGAUAUUAUUUGAGCUCACUUUCACUGCAAUUUAGUUUAAAAAGUUCAUGAAUUUGCUGGUGUGAAUUGUAGUUGCCUUGCGUGGAUGUUAAACAUCAUGCAACCUAGCACAAAAGAUUUGGCUGUUCAGGAAUAUUUUCAUAAAAGCUAGUGGUAUCAAUAUGGACAUGAAUGAUCUCCUUUUGAAGGCCCGCAGUUAUGCAGGAUCUGAUGCCUUUAGAUGAUGGCAUUAUAGUAGUUGUUACAGAGUGGAUACCGAUGAUAUGAUCCGAGUCUUGAAUCAGGCAGGAUCUGUGGGAAGUUAGAUGUGGGCUGAUGCUAGUGUAGUCUCUGCUUUUCACAAGUUGCUAGUCAGGCAGCUCCUCCGAGACUUUCCUAUCCGCAGCCCCGCUACUCUACCAACCAAAGAUUUUGGGGAGCAAUUAAGUAGGUACAGCAGCUGCUCAAUCUCUCGUGGAUCAUUUGAGAGGGAGCAGUGUCAGGACCACCAUGUAUAUUGAAGGCCAGCCAAAUUGCCAUUUAGUUCGACAAGAUCCUUUCUUAUUGCUCCUGUUCUUAACUUCGUUUUCUUAUGUAAAGUGAAAAAUAAGGCAGAAGAAACUUGAUUCUUUUAUACCCUUUGAAAACUGAAUAGCAAAGGUAAUGACAAAAUUCAAGAAACCUGAGCGCAUCAUGAUCAAUCAAAUGAUGGUGCAUUUCUGGGGAGAAUAUGGCUUGGUUUGCUCAUGUUCCAUGUCUUUGUGCAAGGCAAAGUACUGUGGAUGAGCUGUAUAUAGAUGGAAGGCUUGAACUUUUCACUUGGACAUUGUAUUAACAAUUAUCUGAAAUUUACCCCAUGACUGGAUGUUGUUCAA
Long non-coding RNA from Populus trichocarpa (black cottonwood), 5590 nucleotides. RefSeq lists it as uncharacterized. NCBI's taxonomy places the organism in Eukaryota, Viridiplantae, Streptophyta, Magnoliopsida, Malpighiales, Salicaceae. The transcript is spliced from 5 exons. The record is from RefSeq and is a predicted model, not a curated record.